Long non-coding RNA from Dalotia coriaria, 947 nucleotides. RefSeq lists it as uncharacterized. The transcript has 3 exons. NCBI's taxonomy places the organism in Eukaryota, Metazoa, Arthropoda, Insecta, Coleoptera, Staphylinidae. The record is from RefSeq and is a predicted model, not a curated record.
UCGAUCCGUCCGCACGACAGCGGCGCUUAUCUUGGAACUUUUCGAAAAUAAAAGCGACGCGAGUUUAUAUUCCUUCUGUGUAAGCUUUGUUACAUUAUCGCAUCAUCUUUGGGAACUUGGAUAAAGAAAAUUGAUAGUUUUGCUUCGAUUCCCAGCGUAUUGUAAACUUCGAUGAUGUUAUUGGAGAAGGUUUUCCUGGCGUCGACGCCAUAGGUCGCCAUUACUUCACGUAAGUUGUCGCCUUCGACGCACAAGUUGUACAUUGUCUUUCCACCUUUUUCUUUUUUAGCGAUUACUGCUCGAUUUACAGUUGGCAAGCCCUAAACAAUAUUAGUUAUAAUAUGAUGGUAUAUUUUUAUCAUUUUGAGCCCUUACUUUAAUAACAACAUUCGGUAUGAGGUCCUUUAACUCAUGCAUAUUGAAAUUCAAUCUAUAGCCAUGUUUCGAAUGAUUUGGAUGGACACACUCUGUCAAAAUCAACCGGACAAUCUUUGCCUUCCAUGUAAGUCGGGUCCAAACCAUCGCAACCAUAGGUAAAUUGUACAAUGUCUCCUUCGGCAUUACGGACCGAUCCGUCAUAAUGUACAACAAGAUCUUCCAAGGAUUUAACAAGACGUCGCUGCAUGUACCCGGUUUCAGCUGUUUUUACAGCAGUAUCAACUAAGCCUUCUCUGCCUCCCAUUGUAUGGAAGAAAAAUUCUGUGGGUGUUAAACCGGAAUAGAAACUGUUUUCAACAAAACCUUUAGCAGCUGGAGUACGUGCUAUAAAAAUUUAAUUUAAUUAGCUUUAAAAACGUAAUAACCGUUAAUAAAACUUACAAUUCCUGGCAAAAUGAGGCAAGGAUCUGUCUUCAAAUCCGUUCGGUACUCGUUUUCCGUUCAAGGCUUGUUGGCCCACACAAGCAAUCAUUUGUGAAAUGUUAAUAAAUGAACCUAAUAAUAACAAA